UGGAGCUGAAAUCAGUCGAAGAUACCAGCUGGCUGCAACUGUUUAUUAAAAACACAGCACUGUGCAAACACGAAAGUGGACGUAUACGGUGUGACGCCUGCCCGGUGCCGGAAGGUUAAUUGAUGGGGUUAUCCGUAAGGAGAAGCUCUUGAUCGAAGCCCCGGUAAACGGCGGCCGUAACUAUAACGGUCCUAAGGUAGCGAAAUUCCUUGUCGGGUAAGUUCCGACCUGCACGAAUGGCGUAAUGAUGGCCAGGCUGUCUCCACCCGAGACUCAGUGAAAUUGAACUCGCUGUGAAGAUGCAGUGUACCCGCGGCAAGACGGAAAGACCCCGUGAACCUUUACUAUAGCUUGACACUGAACACUGGUCCUUGAUGUGUAGGAUAGGUGGGAGGCUUUGAAGUGUGGACGCCAGUCUGCAUGGAGCCAUCCUUGAAAUACCACCCUUUAAUGGCUGGUGUUCUAACGUGGACCCGUGAUCCGGGUUGCGGACAGUGUCUGGUGGGUAGUUUGACUGGGGCGGUCUCCUCCUAAAGAGUAACGGAGGAGCACGAAGGUUAGCUAAUCCUGGUCGGACAUCAGGAGGUUAGUGCAAAGGCAUAAGCUAGCUUGACUGCGAGAGUGACGGCUCGAGCAGGUGCGAAAGCAGGUCUUAGUGAUCCGGUGGUUCUGAAUGGAAGGGCCAUCGCUCAACGGAUAAAAGGUACUCCGGGGAUAACAGGCUGAUACCGCCCAAGAGUUCAUAUCGACGGCGGUGUUUGGCACCUCGAUGUCGGCUCAUCACAUCCUGGGGCUGAAGUAGGUCCCAAGGGUAUGGCUGUUCGCCAUUUAAAGUGGUACGCGAGCUGGGUUUAGAACGUCGUGAGACAGUUCGGUCCCUAUCUGCCGUGGGCGCUGGAGAAUUGAGGGGGGCUGCUCCUAGUACGAGAGGACCGGAGUGGACGCAUCACUGGUGUUCGGGUUGUCAUGCCAAUGGCAUUGCCCGGUAGCUAAAUGCGGAAGAGAUAAGUGCUGAAAGCAUCUAAGCACGAAACUUGCCCCGAGAUGAGUUCUCCCUGAGACUAUAAGUCUCCUGAAGGAACGUUGAAGACGACGACGUUGAUAGGUCGGGUGUGUAAGUGUAGCGAUACAUUGAGCUAACCGAUACUAAUGAACCGUGAGGCUUAACCUU
Molecule: ribosomal RNA, 1171 nt
Filed under: Citrobacter freundii
Lineage: Bacteria; Pseudomonadati; Pseudomonadota; Gammaproteobacteria; Enterobacterales; Enterobacteriaceae
Description: bacterial LSU rRNA
Rfam family: Bacterial large subunit ribosomal RNA
Source: RNAcentral